RNAcentral lists this ribosomal RNA (132 nucleotides) under Triticum aestivum (bread wheat). RNAcentral describes it as "partial small subunit ribosomal RNA". Lineage: Eukaryota; Viridiplantae; Streptophyta; Magnoliopsida; Poales; Poaceae. The record is from RNAcentral.
AUGUAUCAGCAGAAUUUUUUGGAUAACUCGGUUAAUCAUCCUAACCAAGAUCGAUUAUUGGAUUACAAAAAUUAUUUUUAUUCUGAGUUUUAUUCUCAGAUUCUAUCUGAAGGGUUUGUUUCCAUCUUUUAG